UUCCCACCAUUCCCCCCCCCCUUUUUAGAUUUUUUGAUACUGCUCAGGACGAACGCUGGCGGCGUGCUUAACACAUGCAAGUCGAACGAUGAACCACUUCGGUGGGGAUUAGUGGCGAACGGGUGAGUAACACGUGGGCAAUCUGCCCUGCACUCUGGGACAAGCCCUGGAAACGGGGUCUAAUACCGGAUACUGACCAUCGCAGGCAUCUGUGAUGUUCGAAAGCUCCGGCGGUGCAGGAUGAGCCCGCGGCCUAUCAGCUUGUUGGUGAGGUAAUGGCUCACCAAGGCGACGACGGGUAGCCGGCCUGAGAGGGCGACCGGCCACACUGGGACUGAGACACGGCCCAGACUCCUACGGGAGGCAGCAGUGGGGAAUAUUGCACAAUGGGCGAAAGCCUGAUGCAGCGACGCCGCGUGAGGGAUGACGGCCUUCGGGUUGUAAACCUCUUUCAGCAGGGAAGAAGCGAAAGUGACGGUACCUGCAGAAGAAGCGCCGGCUAACUACGUGCCAGCAGCCGCGGUAAUACGUAGGGCGCGAGCGUUGUCCGGAAUUAUUGGGCGUAAAGAGCUCGUAGGCGGCUUGUCACGUCGGUUGUGAAAGCCCGGGGCUUAACCCCGGGUCUGCAGUCGAUACGGGCAGGCUAGAGUUCGGUAGGGGAGAUCGGAAUUCCUGGUGUAGCGGUGAAAUGCGCAGAUAUCAGGAGGAACACCGGUGGCGAAGGCGGAUCUCUGGGCCGAUACUGACGCUGAGGAGCGAAAGCGUGGGGAGCGAACAGGAUUAGAUACCCUGGUAGUCCACGCCGUAAACGGUGGGCACUAGGUGUGGGCAACAUUCCACGUUGUCCGUGCCGCAGCUAACGCAUUAAGUGCCCCGCUGGAGACGCCAUUUUG
This 893-nucleotide ribosomal RNA is filed under the name Streptomyces sparsus. RNAcentral's name for it is "bacterial SSU rRNA". It matches the Rfam family "Bacterial small subunit ribosomal RNA". The record is from RNAcentral. Lineage: Bacteria; Bacillati; Actinomycetota; Actinomycetes; Kitasatosporales; Streptomycetaceae.